UACGGGGGGGGCAAGCGUUGUUCGGAAUUACUGGGCGUAAAGGGCUCGUAGGCGGCCAACUAAGUCGGACGUGAAAUCCCCAGGCUCAACCUGGGAACUGCGUCCGAUACUGGAUGGCUUGAAUCCGGGAGAGGGAUGCAGAAUUCCAGGUGUAGCGGUGAAAUGCGUAGAUAUCUGGAGGAACACCGGUGGCGAAAGCGGCUCACUGGACCGUCUCUGACGCUGAGGUGCGAAAGCCAGGGUAGCGAACGGG
Molecule: ribosomal RNA, 253 nt
Filed under: uncultured bacterium
Lineage: Bacteria
Description: partial 16S ribosomal RNA
Rfam family: Bacterial small subunit ribosomal RNA
Source: RNAcentral